UAGCAUAAUCAUUUGCCCCCUAAUUAGGGGCUAGAAUGAACGGACAAACGAGAGUCCUACUGUCUCACUAUAAUACAUAAAAAUUAACCUUCAAGUGAAGAGGCUUGACAAGAAAAAAAGACAAGAAGACCCUAUUGAGCUUCAUUUUAUACUCUUUUACACCUCCUAUUUAUUUAGACCUUCCUACAAGAGAAAAAAAUUUAGUUGGGGCGACUGAGGAGCAAUAAAAACCCUCCUCACUCCACAAAGGCCUUUCGCCUAAAAGAUCCGCCAAUAGCGAUCAAUAAAACUAGCUACCAUAGGGAUAACAGGCUAAUCCUUCUCGAGAGCCCGAAUUGACAGAAGGGAUUGGCACCUCGAUGUUGGCUUAGGAAAACACCAAAAUGCAGAA
RNAcentral lists this ribosomal RNA (391 nucleotides) under Malacoceros indicus. RNAcentral's name for it is "partial 16S ribosomal RNA". It matches the Rfam family "Bacterial large subunit ribosomal RNA", at positions 1957 to 2560 of the family's 2925-position model. Lineage: Eukaryota; Metazoa; Annelida; Polychaeta; Spionida; Spionidae. The record is from RNAcentral.